This 253-nucleotide ribosomal RNA is filed under the name uncultured bacterium. RNAcentral describes it as "partial 16S ribosomal RNA". It matches the Rfam family "Bacterial small subunit ribosomal RNA", at positions 524 to 776 of the family's 1533-position model. The record is from RNAcentral.
UACAGAGGUCCCAAGCGUUGUUCGGAUUCACUGGGCGUAAAGGGUGCGUAGGUGGCGGGGUCAGUCUGACGUGAAAUCUCCGGGCUUAACCCGGAAAUGGCGUUGGAAACUACCUUGCUUGAGGGUUGGAGGGGGGACUGGAAUACUUGGUGUAGCAGUGAAAUGCGUAGAUAUCAAGUGGAACACCAGUGGCGAAGGCGAGUCCCUGGACAACUCCUGACACUGAGGCACGAAAGCUAGGGGAGCAAACAGG